This 292-nucleotide ribosomal RNA is filed under the name uncultured bacterium. Its description in RNAcentral is "partial 16S ribosomal RNA". It matches the Rfam family "Bacterial small subunit ribosomal RNA", at positions 505 to 796 of the family's 1533-position model. The record is from RNAcentral.
GUGCCAGCCGCCGCGGUAAUACGGAGGAUGCGAGCGUUAUCCGGAUUUAUUGGGUUUAAAGGGUGCGUAGGCGGAUUAAUAAGUCAGUGGUGAAAACCUGCAGCUUAACUGUAGAACUGCCAUUGAUACUGUUAGUCUUGAGUACGGUCAAGGUAGGCGGAAUGUGUAAUGUAGCGGUGAAAUGCUUAGAUAUUACACAGAACACCGAUUGCGAAGGCAGCUUACUGGGCCAUUACUGACGCUGAGGCACGAAAGCGUGGGGAGCGAACAGGAUUAGAAACCCCCGUAGUCC